This 621-nucleotide small RNA is filed under the name Pongo abelii (Sumatran orangutan). Its description in RNAcentral is "processed transcript". Lineage: Eukaryota; Metazoa; Chordata; Mammalia; Primates; Hominidae. The record is from RNAcentral.
AAAUGAAUACAUUUGGGGAUGGAAGAGAGACACUGUCCUUCCAGUAUUCCAAGUGGAGAAAUACUGUUUCUCUGGAUACCUGAGUAACUGCUGCACAGACCACGCUAUGCAUGCAUGAUCAGGUCUGCAAGCUGAACAGAUGCUCUCACGUGUCAUCUCUUAGAGGUAGGAUCAGUCCUGGCUGCUAUACUCAACCAGGAAAGGACCGCCUCUUUUUCGUCAUGGAAUAUGUAAAUGGUGGAGACCUCAUGUUUCAGAUUCAGCGCUCCCGAAAAUUCGACGAGCCUCGUUCACGGUUCUAUGCUGCAGAGGUCACAUCAGCCCUCAUGUUCCUCCACCAGCAUGGAGUCAUCUACAGGGAUUUGAAACUGGACAACAUCCUUCUGGAUGCAGAAGGUCACUGCAAGCUGGCUGACUUCGGGAUGUGCAAGGAAGGGAUUCUGAAUGGUGUGACAACCACCACGUUCUGUGGGACUCCUGACUACAUAGCUCCUGAGAUCCUGCAGGAGUUGGAGUACGGCCCCUCCGUGGACUGGUGGGCCCUGGGGGUGCUGAUGUACGAGAUGAUGGCUGGACAGCCUCCCUUUGAGGCCGACAAUGAGGACGACCUAUUUGAGUCCA